AUGAUGUGCAGUUUCAGUACUACUAGGUGUGAGGAGGAGGAGGUUAGCCUUGAUGGUCAGGUGGUACCUCGGAAGGACACCUUUCAGUAUUUGGGGUCAAUGCUGCAGGAGGAUGGGGGUAUUGAUGAAGAUGUGAACCAUCGGAUCAAAGCCGGAUGGAUGAAGUGGCGCCAAGCUUCUGGCAUUCUCUGUGACAAGAGAGUGCCACAAAAGCUAAAAGGCAAGUUCUACAGGACGGCGGUUCGACCCGCAAUGUUGUAUGGCGCUGAGUGUUGGCCGACUAAAAGGCGACAUGUUCAACAGUUAGGUGUGGCGGAGAUGCGUAUGUUGAGAUGGAUGUGUGGCCACACGAGGAAGGAUCGAGUCCGGAAUGAUGAUAUACGAGAUAGAGUUGGGGUAGCACCAAUUGAAGAGAAGCUUGUCCAACAUCGUCUGAGAUGGUUUGGGCAUAUCCAGCGCAGGCCUCCAGAAGCUCCAGUGAAGAUGCUACAAAAAGAGACACAUCCGUGA
RNAcentral lists this ribosomal RNA (510 nucleotides) under Triticum aestivum (bread wheat). RNAcentral describes it as "partial small subunit ribosomal RNA". The record is from RNAcentral. Lineage: Eukaryota; Viridiplantae; Streptophyta; Magnoliopsida; Poales; Poaceae.